UGCGGUUAAAGCUCGUAGUUGGAUUUUGGUUAAGAGGGCGCGGUCGGCCGUUUGGUCUGUACUGCGUUGUCUUGACUUCCUGAUGAGGACAUGCUCUUGGUUAACGCUGAGACAUGGAGUCAUCGUGGUUACUUUGAAAAAAUUAGAGUGUUCAAAGCGGGCUUACGCUUGAAUAUAUUAGCAUGGAAUAACACUAUAGGACUCCUGUCCUAUCUCGUUGGUCUCGGGAUGGGAGUAAUGAUUAAGAGGAACAGUUGGGGGCAUUCGUAUUUCAUUGUCAGAGGUGAAAUUCUUGGAUUUAUGAAAGACGAACUUCUGCGAAAGCAUUUGCCAAGGAUGUUUUCAUUAAUCAAGAACGAAAGUUGGGGGCUCGAAGAUGAUUAGAUACCAUCCUAGUCUCAACCAUAAACGAUGCCGACUAGGGAUUGGUGGAUGUUAAUUGAUGACUUCACCAGCACCUUAUGAGAAAUCAAAGUUUUUGGGUUCCGGGGGGAGUAUGGUCGCAAGGCUGAAACUUAAAGGAAUUGACGGAAGGGCACCACCAGGCGUGGAGCCUGCGGCUUAAUUUGACUCAACACGGGGAAACUUACCAGGUCCAGACAUAAGUAUGAUUGACAGAUUGA
Molecule: ribosomal RNA, 623 nt
Filed under: uncultured prasinophyte
Lineage: Eukaryota; Viridiplantae; Chlorophyta
Description: SSU rRNA
Rfam family: Eukaryotic small subunit ribosomal RNA
Source: RNAcentral